RNAcentral lists this ribosomal RNA (232 nucleotides) under uncultured bacterium. RNAcentral describes it as "partial 16S ribosomal RNA". It matches the Rfam family "Bacterial small subunit ribosomal RNA", at positions 524 to 761 of the family's 1533-position model. The record is from RNAcentral.
UACGAAGGGGGCUAGCGUUGCUCGGAAUUACUGGGCGUAAAGCGCACGUAGGCGGCUUUCUAAGUCGGGGUGAAAUCCUGGAGCUCAACUCCAGAACUGCCUUCGAUACUGGAGCUUGAGUCGGAGAGGUGAGUGGAACUGCGAGUGUAGAGGUGAAAUUCGUAGAUAUUCGCAAGAACACCAGUGGCGAAGGCGGCUCACUGGCCGGUACUGACGCUGAGGUGCGAAAGCG